This 510-nucleotide ribosomal RNA is filed under the name Purpureocillium lilacinum. RNAcentral's name for it is "partial large subunit ribosomal RNA". It matches the Rfam family "Eukaryotic large subunit ribosomal RNA", at positions 75 to 594 of the family's 3401-position model. Lineage: Eukaryota; Fungi; Ascomycota; Sordariomycetes; Hypocreales; Ophiocordycipitaceae. The record is from RNAcentral.
UUGCCCCAGUAACGGCGAGUGAAGCGGCAACAGCUCAAAUUUGAAAUCUGGCCCCCAGGGCCCGAGUUGUAAUUUGCAGAGGAUGCUUUUGGCGCGGUGCCUUCCGAGUUCCCUGGAACGGGACGCCAUAGAGGGUGAGAGCCCCGUCUGGUCGGACGCCUAGCCUGUGUAAAGCUCCUUCGACGAGUCGAGUAGUUUGGGAAUGCUGCUCUAAAUGGGAGGUAUAUGUCUUCUAAAGCUAAAUACCGGCCAGAGACCGAUAGCGCACAAGUAGAGUGAUCGAAAGAUGAAAAGCACUUUGAAAAGAGGGUUAAAUAGUACGUGAAAUUGUUGAAAGGGAAGCGCUUGUGACCAGACUUGGGCCCGGUGGAUCAUCCAGCGUUCUCGCUGGUGCACUCCGCCGGGUUCAGGCCAGCAUCAGUUCGCCGCGGGGGAAAAAGGCUUCGGGAACGUGGCUCCUACGGGAGUGUUAUAGCCCGUUGCAUAAUACCCUGGGGCGGACUGAGGUUC